UCCCAGGUGCAGAGGAAGCGUCCUUCACGUGUUCCUGGAGGACUUUCGGCUCGCAAGCGCUUCUCCAUUCUCCCAAUGUCUCGGGCCUGCUCUAGUCCAGAGGAGAAAAGAAUAAUAAAUAUCACACUAAACACCAUGGAAUACUUCUCAAGUCACCAAAGAGAUGGAACUGGACAGAAUACUUCUGUCCAUAAGGCCCUUAGAAGCCCCCUAAGCGAAAUACCAAUGAGGACCUCCCCAGCAGCUGCUGUCUCUCCUGCCAGAGGCAUCUGGCUUAGAGCAGUGUGCGGUCGGCCAGCAAAGGGAUGACUCAAUGCUUGGACCUUCCUGAUCUUCCCCUUACAGAUCUUCGAAAGGGAAGGACCUAGGAACUGAAGCCAGACCCCCACCUCUGCAAGAGUUCCUUGCUGGAGUCACUCAGCAGACCCCCACUCUCUGGACUUUGGGGACAUGAGACUGCUGAGCACCUCCACCAGAGGGAAAGUGGAAGUGGCCCCAAGAAAGAGGGAACCACGAAGCAGUUUCAGUGUGGAAAGAAGAAACCCUCUGGUGGCCUUGGCCCGGGAAUAUGGCGGUUUCAAGUGCAAUGCUGUACUGAAAUGGUACCAGAAGAAGACAGAAGGUUACAUGGCAAUGAUAGUAAGAAAUGCUAAAGAUAUAGCUCAUACAAAAGCAGAAUGGAAUAUUCUGGAAGAAGUAAAGCAUCCCUUCAUCGUGGAUUUAAUUUAUGCCUUUCAGACUGGUGGAAAACUCUACCUCAUCCUUGAGUAUCUCAGUGGAGGAGAACUAUUUAUGCAGUUAGAAAGAGAGGGAAUAUUUAUGGAAGACACUGCGUGGCCUUUUCUAACACGGAAGCUGCAUUUAAGAGCCUUAGGGAUGAAGUGCCCUUUUGUGGAGGAGGCUCACUGAGCGGUGUUGGAGGCUGUGUUUGUGGUUGUGCUGGCUGUGAAACUGCCUCAGUCCUUCCUCUAGGACACAUCCUCUCCAUCCUGGAAUAAUCUGCAGGAUUGCAACAUUGUUAAGCAGCCAGUAUUGUGGUGCCUUGUGCUUUUCACAUCCAGACAGGGUUGAUUGAGCCCUUUAUUCUUUUGAGCUUUUACUUGGCAGAAAUCUCUAUGGCUUUGGGGCAUUUACAUCAAAAGGGGAUCAUCUACAGAGACUUGAAGCUGGAGAAUAUCAUGCUUAAUCACCAAGGUCAUGUGAAACUAACAGACUUUGGACUAUGCAAAGAAUCAUUCAUGACGGAACAGUCACACACACAUUUUGUGGAGCAAUAGAAUACAUGUGAGCUGCAUGUUAAACAUAAUUGGUUUGGAGCCUCCAUUUACUGGGGAGAAUAGAAAGAAAACAAUUGACAACAUCCUCAAAUGUAAACUAAUUUGCCUCCCUACCUCACACAAGAAGCCAGAGAUCUGCUUAAAAAGCUACUGAAAAGAAAUGCUGCUUCUCAUCUGGGAGCUGGUCCUGGGGAUGCUGGAGAUGUUCAAGCUCAUCCAUUCUUUAGACACAUUAACUGGGAAGAACUUCUGGCUCGAAAGGUGGAGCCCCCAUUUAAACUUCUGUUCAAUCUGAAGAGGAUGUAAGUCAGUUUGAUUCCAAGUUUACACGUCAGACACCUGUCGACAGCCCAGAUGACUCAACUCUCAGUGAAAGUGCCCAUCAGCUCUUUCUGGAGCUUCGCCAGAAUACCUCCUGGAGUUGUUGACAUUGGGCCCUACUGGAACCUUCCUGAAUGAUCAGGAUGUUGAGCUCCGCGAUCUGUUCCUCCAGCUCCGCCAUGCCCGGCCCGUACUGGCCUGCGCAGACCUGCUUCUGCAGGAGAGCCGGCGGCUCAGUCACCGCAGGACCGCGGUGGGGAGCCAGAGAACCCCACACGUCUCCCACCCAGAGAAGUGGACUUGGUCAUUUGGGCAGAGCGUGGACGAGCCUGGGAGCAGCCCGGGUGCACGCCCUGCAGCUCACCCAGGGGCGAGGCCAUUCUGCAGUGGCCCCUGAGUCCCACUGGUUCCCAGACGCUGGGCUCAGCCUCUGAGAAGUCUCCAGCUCCAUCCUACCUUGUCUGUGACCCAGCCUCAGUGCUUCCUGUCUGGACACCUCCAGCCAAGCUCUAGGGCCCUCAGAACGCCCUGCUCCACCCGGGCCCUUCCCCACUGUCCCUCUAUUGUCAUGAUGACACCCCUUCUGUGUGGCAUCAAAGCACAACUCCUCACCCAGGGAUCAGAAUGCCCCAUGACCUGGCUCUGCCCACCUGCCCAGAAAUCCCCAAGUCCCAUCGAACCGUAGGCUUCCUCCUGGCAGGUGCCUUUGCUCCUUCUUUCUGGAAUUGUUCUCUCCUCACUACUUCACCCUGAUCCAACCGAGCCCUCUCACCCCUCUGAGGUCUCUUCAUGUGCCUCCUCCUGCAGGAAGUCUUCCCUGACUGCACUGUCUCCUCUGCUGUCUCCCUGCCCAGACCCCUGAGCCACCCCUACACCCUGACUGUUCAAGCCUACAGUCAGGCCCUGGGUUAAAUGCAGUUCCGUAUCGCUCUCUGAUCACACUGGGGUGUGACUUUGAGCUCCUGACCUGUUUCUGCUCCAGCACGUGUGCCCAGUUGACCCUGGAUCCCACGUCUGGGCGGCAGCACCAUCUUCUCGUACAGGGCACGGUACUCGGCACACUCCUGGGUCACCUGCUCGUGCAGCUGCUCGAUGCUGUCAAGAAGCCGACCCAGGCCGGCAGGUCAGGGCUGGGCCUGGGUCUUCCCCAGGGACCCCCAGCCCUGCCGCAGCCCCACUCACUCCUUCUCAGUCUCCUCAGCCUGCGGGUGCUUGAGCCGCCGGGCCUUGUCCUCGUCCAGGAAGAGGUCCUUGAGCAGCACCUCGGCCUCCUUCAGGCUGCCGCCCGUCUCCUGCUGGUGCUGCAGGGCCUGGCUCUGCUCACUGUUCAGCCGGUCCUGUGGGCAGGGGAUGGGCAGACUCGCCAGGGCCCAGAGCCCCCACACCCCAGCUGCCCAUCACUGUGCGCCUGAGCCCCACCUUUGGGACCCCAGCUAUGCUGGCCAACCUCGAGGCCCACGCCAGGCACAGGGUCAGGCCCAGGGCGUCCGUGGGGCAGGUGACAAGGACACAGGGGAGCCCAGCAAAGAAGGAAGCUGAGCCCUCUCUCCCACCGUGUGUUAGGGGACAGGCGGUGCAGGACAAAUGUCAUCUGUCCCAUCUUCACCAUCACCAGGGGGCACUCAGGGAGUGCCAGGCCUGAUGAUGAGCCUUCCAUGUCACCCAGCCUGCCCACGCCCUGCCAACUGCUGCCAUGCCCGGGGCCUCACCUGCUGCAGCCUCUUCUGCGUCUCCAGGAUGUCCCGCUCCACCUGGUCGGGGUUGGCUUGCAUGCGGGAGAUGAGCAGGGCCAGCUCCUGGGUGGCAGCCCUGGUGGGUGGAGGGGACAGUGGGCAGCUCGGUGGAAGAGGCCCCUCUGUGCCCCAUCCAGGUGGCAUCCCUUGCCCUCCCUCCACCCCAUACUGCCCCCAGAGCCUAGCUCACUGCCCUGACUUUGGGGUCUCUCUCUGAAGGAGGCUCUGUGAGCUAGUCCUGGUUGGGGGUGUUAGCACUGCCCCGCCACAUGAGGGGUCAAAAGGUGAGGGUCUCAGGUCUGUGUGGUGCUGAGGGGGCAGGCGGCCUUGGUGUCCCAGCCUCAGCCAGCUGUGCUGGCAGUGAGUUCCCGACCCCACCCAGCUGCCUGCCACUUCCCCUCCGCGAGCCGGUGAAUCACCGGCUCAGCCACUAGUACCUGAGCCAGCCUGGCUGGGCCCUGGGAGGGGCAGUUGGGCUGGCUGGGGCAGGGAGGCAGCAGCAUGCCCCCCACCCCCACCUCCUCCCACUCCAGCCCUGUGUUCCCCUAUACCUCCUCCACCCCGGGGAGCUUUGCCAGAGUGCUGGCUUCAGUAGCCGUCUAGAGGAGCCUCACACUGUCAGAGCCGGGGAGGGGAGGCAGGCACAAGAGACUGCUGGGCACCCUAACAUUCUCCAGAGUUGAGGGUUCAAAGCCCAGAUUGGGCCCUGACUUGCUCUGAGUCACAUGGUCAGGGACGGAGGGGAAACCUUGCUUCCACCCCAGGGCUUUUUCUGUGCAUUCGCCCUGCAGCCUCCAUAGAGCACCUGCUGUGUGCAUGCAGUCACUCUGUGGAGGUCACAAGGUCAAGCAGACCUAAAAGAGGGCAGAUUGGUCCAAGCCUCAUGAGCACAGUGCCUUAUAGGGGAUCAUUAUCCUGGGGCAGGGGAAGCCUUGAACUGGGUCAAAGGAUGCCCCCCCCCCCCCACACCUCAGGCAAAGGGACAGUGCUGGUGAAGGCACAGCAGUCUGGAAGAACUCUGUGGCCAAGACAGCCUGGUUUCAUCUUUCUCCAUCAUUAAUGCUGUGUGACCUUGGGCAAGUUAACCUCUCUGUGCCUGAGGUGCCUCACUCGUAAAGCGGGAUUUUAAUAAAAAUAUCUAUGCCUUA
Molecule: RNA transcript, 4479 nt
Organism: Pan troglodytes (chimpanzee)
Lineage: Eukaryota; Metazoa; Chordata; Mammalia; Primates; Hominidae
Gene name: ribosomal protein S6 kinase beta-1
Exons: 17
Source: RefSeq, a predicted model, not a curated record